Molecule: long non-coding RNA, 688 nt
Organism: Cyprinus carpio carpio
Lineage: Eukaryota; Metazoa; Chordata; Actinopteri; Cypriniformes; Cyprinidae
Source: Ensembl
CUCAAAGAUACUGAACUGGAUUAAGUGGCUGACUUCCUGGGACAUGACAUACGUGUCCACCGUGAUCACUACAGACUCCCUGAGGCAACAGUUCAGCUUGCAAAUAUCUACUAAUUACUUUUGGCGAUGGACAAAGGCUGUCUUGGAAGCAUCCAGGGAAAGUGUCUUGAUGACAUUCAAAUCAAAGAUCAGAUCCAGUUAACUGAUACUGAGGCUGACACGGAUGACGAAUCUGCUUGUGCCAGUUCAUUAAGCAAACCAAAAGAGAUUUCAGCAUCAACAUCAGAAGCCUGCCUGAAUGGAGUGAACACCAGAAAGAGCUCCAGAGGCAGGGGCUUACCCCUCUUCAGGAUGCUGAAAGACACAUUCAUCUAGGACGAGAUAAACACACAGUUUCUUCAAAAUAUAUUGAUGGAAUUAAAGGACAUGGUGUUUUUGCAGAAGAUUUCAUUGGGAAGGGAUCCUUCAUUAUCGAGUACCACGGAGCUCUGUGUGAAGAAAACAAGUUUAAUAAAAUCUCAAAUCCAUACAUAUAUUAUUUUAAAGAUAAUGGAAAAGAUUAUUGCAUCGAUGCAUCACAUGAUGAUGAUUCACUGAGUAGACUAGUAAACGAUGACAAGAAACCUAAUGCGAAAAUGUUGAAAAUAGAGGUGAAUGGCAAUCCAACCUCUGUUUGUUUGCAAUUAAA